RNAcentral lists this transfer RNA (71 nucleotides) under Marmota monax (woodchuck). RNAcentral describes it as "tRNA.Ala". It matches the Rfam family "tRNA". From Rfam's summary of the family: Transfer RNA (tRNA) molecules are approximately 80 nucleotides in length. Their secondary structure includes four short double-helical elements and three loops (D, anti-codon, and T loops). The record is from RNAcentral. Lineage: Eukaryota; Metazoa; Chordata; Mammalia; Rodentia; Sciuridae.
GGGGUUGUGGCUCAGUGGCAGAGCGCUCGCCUUGCACGUGAGAGACCCUGGGUUUGAUCCUCAGCACCACA